Molecule: long non-coding RNA, 537 nt
Organism: Apis mellifera (honey bee)
Lineage: Eukaryota; Metazoa; Arthropoda; Insecta; Hymenoptera; Apidae
Exons: 2
Source: RefSeq, a predicted model, not a curated record
UAUAGUGGGAUAAGUCAACAAUUGGGUCGGGCAGGUUGGCGAGUGAGCGGCGUUCGUUUAAGGCUAAGUUUUAAAUGGAUCGGCCAACUCGCGACGCGAAUGAUGGAAGCGAAAAGUGAAACAGGAAUUCGAUAAGCUUGCGGGAAAAUUUUUCUGAGAAAAGAUUGCGAAAAGUUGGACGGUAUAAAUACAAUGGGCAAAAGUCGGGGAGCCACUCCUCGAAUAAACACAGACGUUUCCCGGCUUCGUUGGCACGAGGAUGAGAAAAUUCGUAGCGUGGAACACGAAAAUGACCGCAAGAAUUUCUGCGUGCGGGGGUGGACCGCAGUUCCCGCCAGAAAAUGGAGGGAAUUUCGCGUUUUAUUCCAACGACAGGUAACGAGGACCACCAUUUAAGGGGAAUUUUUCUACGUGGAACGUGGUGGAUGGAAUGGAAAGUAACCAGAAAAAUUGUUUGACUUGUAAAUGCGCAAUCGUGUGCGGGAGGAGGGAGUGCACUAAUGCAUUCGUGGAAUAUUUUUCGAUUGCAGAGGUCGG